GCGUCUGCAGCCUAGUUGGUAAAGGCAGCACUCUAGUAUGUGUCUAAGCAUAGCUGAGGUUGUGAGUUCGACUCUCACCAGACACA
This is a transfer RNA of Puccinia triticina 1-1 BBBD Race 1, 86 nucleotides long. It matches the Rfam family "tRNA". From Rfam's summary of the family: Transfer RNA (tRNA) molecules are approximately 80 nucleotides in length. Their secondary structure includes four short double-helical elements and three loops (D, anti-codon, and T loops). Lineage: Eukaryota; Fungi; Basidiomycota; Pucciniomycetes; Pucciniales; Pucciniaceae. The record is from Rfam.